RNAcentral lists this ribosomal RNA (484 nucleotides) under uncultured bacterium. RNAcentral's name for it is "partial 16S ribosomal RNA". It matches the Rfam family "Bacterial small subunit ribosomal RNA", at positions 29 to 507 of the family's 1533-position model. The record is from RNAcentral.
AGUGAACGCUGGCGGCAGGCCUAACACAUGCAAGUCGAGCGGCUGAACGGUGCUUGCUCCCUGUUACAGCUGCGGACGGGUGAGUAAGUGCUAGAUACCUCGCUAUCAGCUUUUUCUAGCGGGCUGACAUGGGGACAAAUACCGUACUCCUGCAUACGACCUAAGUGUGGGAGCAUCGGACCUUAGGCUCUUGCUCGAUCCGAUGUCGGAUUAGCUAGUUGGUGGGGUAAAGGCCUACCAAGGCGACGAUCCGUAGCUGGUCUGAGAGGAUGAUCAGUCACACUGGAACUGAGACACGGUCCAGACUCCUACGGGAGGCAGCAGUGGGGAAUAUUGGACAAUGGGCGCAAGCCUGAUCCAGCCAUGCCGCGUGUGUGAAGAAGGCCUUCGGAUUGUAAAGCCCUUUAGUUGGGGAGGAAAAGCAGUAAGUUAAUACCUUGCUGUUUUGACGUUACCAAAAGAAUAAGCACCGGCUAACUUCGUG